Molecule: RNA transcript, 3283 nt
Organism: Xiphophorus maculatus (southern platyfish)
Lineage: Eukaryota; Metazoa; Chordata; Actinopteri; Cyprinodontiformes; Poeciliidae
Gene name: matrilin-3
Exons: 10
Source: RefSeq, a predicted model, not a curated record
UCCCCGACUCUCCACGCCUUAUGGGUAGUGGUCGUGCAGGAUAUAAAUAGGAGUGCACCCUGCUGUAAACCAGUUGGACGAAGUCGAGAUGGUUUUGUUAGUGUGGAAGGUGGUGGUGGUCUUUGGUAUCCUGGCGGUGGGAUCUCAGGGCUCUCUCCCACAGCCCCGGUCACAGCGUCGGGUGUCUCCAGGGCGCUAUGACCGAUCAGAGAACUUAGCAUCGAUCCCAGGGACGUCUGUAGAGGCGCAGAGUGAGGAGCGCUUUCAGGAGGUCCGGCGGGGUGACCAGAGAAGCGUCCUGCUGCAGCGGGGCGCGCGGAAAGAUGCCGACAUCUACCUGAGGCACGAGGGACUGAGAGAUGACGCAGCAACAAGAACUAAUUGCAAAAAUCGCCCUAUUGACCUGGUUUUCAUCAUAGACAGUUCCCGCAGUGUGCGCCCUGCUGAAUUUAAAAAGGCCAAGGAGUUCCUGCAGGCCAUGGUGGACAGCCUGGUUAUUGGCAGAGAUGCCACUCGUGUCGGCCUCGUUAAUUAUGCGAGCACAGUCAAAAUUGAGUUUCUCCUCAACACUUUUUUUGACAAAUCCUCUGUGAUGCAGGCACUCGGCCAAGUUGAGCCCUUAGCUUCAGGCACCAUGACGGGCAUGGCCAUCAGGACCGCCAUAGAGAAAGCCUUCACCAAGGAGGCCGGGGCCCGAUCCGCUUCCAUGAACAUUGCUAAGGUGGCUAUUAUAGUGACUGAUGGGAGACCUCAGGACAAGGUGGAGGAGGUGUCAGCCACAGCCAGAGCAUCUGGGAUUGAAAUCUAUGCAGUGGGAGUUGACAGAGCUGAUAUGGCUUCCCUGAAACUUAUGGCCAGCCAGCCACAUGAUGACCAUGUCUUCUAUGUGGAGACCUAUGGUGUGAUCGAGAAGCUUACGUCUAAGUUUAGGGAAACUUUGUGUGGUAAGGAUGAUGAUAAUGGGAGUGCAGAUAUUGAUAACGGACUAGGCCUAAAUGGCAGGAAAGACGAUAAUAAGCGUGACAGUGAAGGGAACAACGGUUUGGAUCCAUGUGAUCAAGGACACAACUGUCAGCAUAUUUGUGUCAACAGUGGUGACUCGUACAUCUGCAAGUGUCGCCCUGGCUACAUCCUGAAUCCAGACAAGAAAACAUGCUCACGUGCAGAUGCUUGUACCCAGGGACAUGACUGCCAGCAUAUUUGUGUCAACACCCGCGACUCGUACAUGUGCCAGUGUAGAACUGGAUACGUGUUGAACACAGAUAAGAAAACAUGCUCACGUAUGGAUGCAUGUUCUUCAGAACAUAACUGCCAACAUAUUUGUGUCAAAAGUGGAGAUUCUUAUGUUUGCAUGUGUCGCAAAGGAUAUUUGUUGAACGCAGACAACAAAACAUGCUCACGUUCUGAUCCAUGUGCCCUUGGACACGAUUGCCAUCAUAUUUGUGAAAAUAGUGAUGCAUCAUAUGUCUGCAAGUGUCGGGCGGGAUAUGUGUUAAAUACAGACCAGAAAACGUGCUCACGUUCUGAUCCAUGUUCCCAUAGACAUGAUUGUCAGCACAUCUGUGUAAACAGUGAUGCUUCACACAUGUGCAAAUGUCAAGUGGGAUAUGUGUUGAAUCCAGAUAAAAAAACAUGCUCACGCUCAGACGCAUGUUCUCAGGGACAUGACUGCCAGCAUAUAUGUGUCAACAGUGGAAGCUCAUAUGUCUGCAAGUGUCGGCUGGGAUAUUCGCUCAACAUGGACAGGAAGACAUGCUCACGUUUGGAUGCAUGUAUUCAGGGACACGACUGCCAGCAUAUCUGUAUCAACAACGGUGUUUCUUACAACUGCAAGUGUCGAAUAGGAUACAUGCUAAAUUCAGACCAGAAAACAUGUUCACGUAAGUUUUUCUGUGUUCAUGGCACACUGUCCUCACACCUCAAGUUGCUUGGUUAUAGAUGAUCUCUUGGAGUUCCAAAUUUCCUGAAUAAACAGUCUGGCACGGGCUUCCCUACAACUGUUGGGGUGUCUAUGGAAAGUUACAUAACUGUCAAUACAGGCCUGUGUUAACACAAUGCUAAGGCAGAAAGAAAUCUACCCAUUUAUCCAGGGAAAGGCUGCAGGGCCAUGUCCAAACAAUUUAAUGACCAUCAUUCAACUGUGGGAAAGAUGAACUCAGUACAAUCUACUAAGGAGUUGGUAUCUUAGUGAAUUAACCCCUACUGUUAGUGUGCAAUGUUCAAAGAAAUUACACACAAAAAAGCAGAGCUUUAUCUCACACUCUAUUUAGGAUGGUCAUGUUAAAGGUGCAGUAUGUAACUUUUCUAAAAAAUAUAUACACAUGGUUUUUUUUACAUAUUUGUUAAAACUGCUACUAUAUUGUGACAGCAUAACAUGAGACAUAAUCUGGGAAAAAAGUUAGUUUUUCUGGCCUUUCCCUGAGGUCCUACUGACAUCUGCAGAAAUCCACAACUCAGUCAGAAACGUAUUGCUGUCAAUCACUCUCGUACAGACAAAAUCAGAAGCAUUGUUGCAAUUACCUGUUGAAGGUGAAAUGUUGGAAAGGAACAGAGGUUCAAUUUCAAGGUGUCAGAGUCCAAAGUCAAAUUUAAUGUUUGUAUUUUUAUAACCUCUGCAGGUAACAUAGUUACUAGAUUGUGUGAUAAAAUAGCAACAUGUGCCCUUUUAAUUAAGAGAGUUGUGCAUAAACAAAGAUCUGCAAAUCUAAACAAUCUGAAGAAAUGUUAGAGAAAAGAAGAAAUCCUUACACAACAAUCUAAGAGAGUGAUAAAACCUUACAGAUAGUUACUGCUAAGAGUGGUUUUACUAAAGACCUAACUUCAAACAGGGACUUUGUAGUUCAAUGUAGUCUUAACAUUUUUGCAUCAUGUACUUGAUUUCAGUUAUUUUUAAUCCAUUAGUUUAAAAAUUAUUACUGGCUUUAUUACAAAAAGGGCCAAUAGCUGUGCUUUUUACCUGCAGGAACAACUCCAAAACUAUUUGGGUUUAGCUCAUUUCUGCACCUUUAAAUUUAAAUGUGUGUUUUGUUUAUAACUACACAAAGAUCAGAAAUUGAUAAAAAGUAAGUAUUUAGUGGUUCUGCGCAGUUUAUAGACAAGGGUUCUGUAGGAAAACUUUUAACUAUUAAAAUGUUAAUUUCUUUGCAUAGUUAGUAACAUGUUGCUUUUAUAUUUGUCUGGAUGUCUUUUCAUUUAAUAAAUGUUGUGUGUCUUAAUGUCCCAUUUAAGGUGGACCUCAUUAAAGGAAAUGAGGAGUGAAAUUUCAGAAGAUGCCUGCAUGUGU